UACGUAGGGGGCAAGCGUUGUCCGGAUUUAUUGGGCGUAAAGCGCUCGCAGGUGGUUCGUUGCGUCGUGCGUGAAAGACCCCGGCUCAACUGGGGGGUGUCGUGCGAUACGGGCGGACUGGAGGCCAGUAGGGGGAUGCGGAAUUCCGGGUGUAGUGGUGGAAUGCGUAGAGAUCCGGAGGAACACCAGCGGCGAAGGCGGCAUCCUGGACUGGUCCUGACACUCAUGAGCGAAAGCGUGGGGAGCGAUCCGG
Molecule: ribosomal RNA, 253 nt
Filed under: uncultured bacterium
Lineage: Bacteria
Description: partial 16S ribosomal RNA
Rfam family: Bacterial small subunit ribosomal RNA
Source: RNAcentral